GAUGAACGCUGGCGGCGUGCCUAAUACAUGCAAGUCGAGCGAACAGACGAGGAGCUUGCUCCUCUGACGUUAGCGGCGGACGGGUGAGUAACACGUGGAUAACCUACCUAUAAGACUGGGAUAACUUCGGGAAACCGGAGCUAAUACCGGAUAAUAUAUUGAACCGCAUGGUUCAAUAGUGAAAGACGGUUUUGCUGUCACUUAUAGAUGGAUCCGCGCCGCAUUAGCUAGUUGGUAAGGUAACGGCUUACCAAGGAAACGAUGCGUAGCCGACCUGAGAGGGUGAUCGGCCACACUGGAACUGAGACACGGUCCAGACUCCUACGGGAGGCAGCAGUAGGGAAUCUUCCGCAAUGGGCGAAAGCUUGACGGAGCAACGCCGCGUGAGUGAUGAAGGUCUUCGGAUCGUAAAACUCUGUUAUUAGGGAAGAACAAAUGUGUAAGUAACUAUGCACGUCUUGACGGUACCUAAUCAGAAAGCCACGGCUAACUACGUG
Molecule: ribosomal RNA, 497 nt
Filed under: uncultured bacterium
Lineage: Bacteria
Description: partial 16S ribosomal RNA
Rfam family: Bacterial small subunit ribosomal RNA
Source: RNAcentral